Molecule: ribosomal RNA, 498 nt
Filed under: uncultured bacterium
Lineage: Bacteria
Description: partial 16S ribosomal RNA
Rfam family: Bacterial small subunit ribosomal RNA
Source: RNAcentral
AUUGAACGCUGGCGGCAUGCCUUACACAUGCAAGUCGAACGGUAACGCGGGGCAACCUGGCGACGAGUGGCGAACGGGUGAGUAAUACAUCGGAACGUGCCCGAUCGUGGGGGAUAACGAGGCGAAAGCUUUGCUAAUACCGCAUACGAUCUACGGAUGAAAGCGGGGGAUCUUCGGACCUCGCGCGGACGGAGCGGCCGAUGGCGGAUUAGGUAGUUGGUGGGAUAAAAGCUUACCAAGCCGACGAUCUGUAGCUGGUCUGAGAGGAUGAUCACCCACACUGGGACUGAGACACGGCCCAGACUCCUACGGGAGGCAGCAGUGGGGAAUUUUGGACAAUGGGGGAAACCCUGAUCCAGCCAUGCCGCGUGCAGGAUGAAGGCCUUCGGGUUGUAAACUGCUUUUGUACGGAACGAAAAGGUCUCUUCUAAUAAAGGGGGCCCAUGACGGUACCGUAAGAAUAAGCACCGGCUAACUACGUGCCAGCAGCCGCCGUAA